RNAcentral lists this ribosomal RNA (608 nucleotides) under uncultured bacterium. Its description in RNAcentral is "bacterial SSU rRNA". The stretch from base 1 to 514 matches the Rfam family "Bacterial small subunit ribosomal RNA", at positions 338 to 873 of the family's 1533-position model. The record is from RNAcentral.
CCUACGGGAGGCAGCAGUUGGGAAUCUUGGACAAUGGGGGAAACCCUGAUCCAGCCAUGCCGCGUGAGUGAUGAAGGCCUUCGGGUUGUAAAACUCUUUCGACGGGGACGAUAAUGACGGUACCCGUAGAAGAAGCUCCGGCUAACUUCGUGCCAGCAGCCGCGGUAAUACGAAGGGGGCUAGCGUUGUUCGGAAUUACUGGGCGUAAAGCGCGCGCAGGCGGUCUUCCAAGUCAGUGGUGAAAGCCCGGAGCUCAACUCCGGAACUGCCAUUGAAACUGUAAGACUUGAGGACGAGAGAGGUGAGUGGAAUUCCCAGUGUAGAGGUGAAAUUCGUAGAUAUUGGGAAGAACACCGGUGGCGAAGGCGGCUCACUGGCUCGUAUCUGACGCUCAGGCGCGACAGCGUGGGGAUCAAACAGGAUUAGAUACCCUGGUAGUCCACGCCGUAAACGAUGAAUGCUAGCCGUUGGGUAGCUUGCUAUCUAGUGCGCNGCUACGCAUAGUACACUCGUCCGUCGGUAGGUACGGCCGCGACGGUUAGUAACGUACGAAAGGAAAGUUAAGUACGGCGUUGAGACGUUGCGACGGACGACGACGAGGGAGGAGG